Non-coding RNA from Kogia breviceps (pygmy sperm whale), 1851 nucleotides. Lineage: Eukaryota; Metazoa; Chordata; Mammalia; Artiodactyla; Physeteridae. The record is from RefSeq and is a predicted model, not a curated record.
GAGGAAGAAAAGCAUAUAUAAUUAAAGCAAUAAAUUGGGUUUUUGAGGUUGUCUGUUUACUAUUGUCAAAUAUAAUCUAUUUCAUGCAUUUAUCCAGAAUGCAUAAAAUAGGUCAGAUUUCAUUUUCUUCGGUUUGCUUAUUUUCUCCUCCAGUUCCCUGCAUAGACACAGAACCCAGAUGGAAAUGGGAAGACUGUUGACUUGUGUACUUAGAGAAGGUGGUGGUAGAGGAUUCAGUGCACUGGACCCUGGGAAUUGGAUGCCCGUGAGCAAAUAAAAACUAAAAAGAGGCAAUGAGGUAUCUGGGAAAGAGCAUGGUGUUUGGAGUCAGACAGAUCUGAGUUAGAAUCCUGGCUCAGCUGCAUUCACUGUGCAGUUUGGAUUUCACUCUCGUUCCUGUCUUCCCUGCAUUCACUCCGUGCGGUCCUCCCACCACCAAUUUCUCUCUCCACUGGGUUCUUUUCAUCUGCAUAUGCACAUGCGAAAAUAUCAACUCAAAACAAACAAACCUUGCCCUCUGCCUUCUUCAUCUCCUUCAGCUUCCACCCAGGCGUCUCCUCCCUUUACUGCCAAGCGUCUCAAGAGUCGCCCACACUCCCCGUCUCCUCUUCUGCAAUCCCCACCCACUCCUCAGUCUCCGAUGAUCUGGCUUCGGCCCCCACUGCACCACUGACCUGCUUCUGUCACAAUCACAAUGACUCCUGUGUGGCCAGCCCCAAAGACCGUUCCUUGCCCUCUGGUCAUCUGGCUACUCAGCAGCAUUUCCAACCCCCGAGCUGCUUCCCUCUUGAAGCAACUUUUCUUUCUUGGCAUCCAUCUCAUUCCCCUUUCCUGGAUCAUCCUCCUAACUUUCUGGCCUCUCCUUCUUAGUCUGUUUGCUGGAUCCUCCUCUUCAACCUGACACUGAACGUAGGGGUCCUCAGAGCUCAGCCCUGGGGUCCCCUCCCUUCCCCUUCCCAUCACUUCUCUUCACUGGUUACACUGUCUCCCUAGUCCCACGGCUUUAAAUAGUGGACAGAAACACCAAAUCCUGACCUGACCCGACCUCUCUGGUAGACUUCGACCCAGAAUGUACAACCGUUGGCUGUCCUCCUCCACUGGGGUAAUUCACAAAUAUCUCAGACUUAACUUAUCCGAAAUAAAAUCCUUCAUCCUUCUCCUUGCGGGAACAAACUACCCUUCCAUUGUCCCUGCCCUCCUCCCCAUGUUUUCUCAUCUCAGUAAGCACCACCACUAGCUACUCAGAUAGAAACUUCAGAGUCAUUCCUCACAGCUAACCUAUUACCCAGUUCUAUUGGUUCCUCUCCAAAAUAUAUCUCGAAUCCACCUGAUUCUCCCCAUCUUUACUGCCACCAUUAUAGUGGAUCUUCUGAUAUCUUUUGCCUCCAUUACUGUGAAAGCCUCUUAAUUCUUUUCCGCACCUCUGCUCUUGCCCUCCCAUGCAUUUCACACAGAGAUAUGACCUACACAUAAGAUAAACAGACCCAGCGUAAACACUCCUUGGCUUAAAACUUCCAAUGUCUCUCUCCAUUGCAGAGAAUAAAACAUAGCCCUUUUUAUAAUGCCCAGCAGGGGGAGCCCUACCUCUCUUUCCGGCUUCCUUUGAAACCAUCCACUUCUCUCACCUUGCUGUGGAUGAUCCUUCAGUUCUGCUAACGACCACAGCUCCUCCCUCCAUGCAGCCUUCCUCUGCUGUUCCCUUUGCCUCAGAGCCUCUGACCCCACCCCACUUCUGCCUUCACUCUCUGUGGUGUGUGUGUGUGUGUGUGUGUGUGUAUAAUAUUAAACAUUCAGAAAAGUAAAAUUUUAUUGUAUGUAAAUUAUACCUCAGUAUACCUGAUUAUCAAAAGA